RNAcentral lists this ribosomal RNA (301 nucleotides) under uncultured bacterium. RNAcentral's name for it is "partial 16S ribosomal RNA". It matches the Rfam family "Bacterial small subunit ribosomal RNA", at positions 509 to 807 of the family's 1533-position model. The record is from RNAcentral.
CAGUAGCCGCGGUAAUACGUAGGUGGCAAGCGUUGUCCGGAAUUAUUGGGCGUAAAGGGCUCGCAGGCGGUUUCUUAAGUCUGAUGUGCAAGCCCCCGGCUCAACCGGGGAGGGUCAUUGGAAACUGGGAAACUUGAGUGCAGAAGAGGAGAGUGGAAUUCCACGUGUAGCGGUGAAAUGCGUAGAGAUGUGGAGGAACACCAGUGGCGAAGGCGACUCUCUGGUCUGUAGCUGACGCUGAGGAGCGAAAGCGUGGGGAGCGAACAGGAUUAGAUACCCCCGUAGUCCCUGUCUCUUAUAC